GAUGAACGCUAGCUACAGGCUUAACACAUGCAAGUCGAGGGGAAACGGCAUUGAGUGCUUGCACUCUUUGGACGUCGACCGGCGCACGGGUGAGUAACGCGUAUCCAACCUUCCCAUUACUGUGGGAUAACCUGCCGAAAGGCAGACUAAUACCGCAUAGUCUUCGAUGACGGCAUCAGAUUUGAAGUAAAGAUUUAUCGGUAAUGGAUGGGGAUGCGUCUGAUUAGCUUGUUGGCGGGGUAACGGCCCACCAAGGCGACGAUCAGUAGGGGUUCUGAGAGGAAGGUCCCCCACAUUGGAACUGAGACACGGUCCAAACACCUACGGGAGGCAGCAGUGAGGAAUAUUGGUCAAUGGACGGAAGUCUGAACCAGCCAAGUAGCGUGCAGGAUGACGGCCCUAUGGGUUGUAAACUGCUUUUGUAUGGGGAUAAAGUUAGGGACGUGUCCCUAUUUGCAGGUACCAUACGAAUAAGGACCGGCUAAUUCCGUG
This 492-nucleotide ribosomal RNA is filed under the name uncultured bacterium. RNAcentral's name for it is "partial 16S ribosomal RNA". It matches the Rfam family "Bacterial small subunit ribosomal RNA", at positions 28 to 507 of the family's 1533-position model. The record is from RNAcentral.